GACGAACGCUGGCGGCGUGCUUAACACAUGCAAGUCGAACGCACUUUGCUCCUUCGGGAGCAAAGUGAGUGGCGAACGGGUGAGUAACACGUGAGCAACCUGCCCUUGACUCUGGAAUAACAGCUGGAAACAGCUGCUAAUACCGGAUACGACCUCCGAUGGCAUCAUCUGGAGGUGGAAAGCUCCGGCGGUCAAGGAUGGGCUCGCGGCCUAUCAGCUUGUUGGUGAGGUAACGGCUCACCAAGGCUUCGACGGGUAGCCGGCCUGAGAGGGCGACCGGCCACACUGGGACUGAGAUACGGCCCAGACUCCUACGGGAGGCAGCAGUGGGAAUAUUGCACAAUGGGCGCAAGCCUGAUGCAGCAACGCCGCGUGCGGGAUGACGGCC
Molecule: ribosomal RNA, 388 nt
Filed under: uncultured bacterium
Lineage: Bacteria
Description: bacterial SSU rRNA
Rfam family: Bacterial small subunit ribosomal RNA
Source: RNAcentral